This 242-nucleotide ribosomal RNA is filed under the name uncultured bacterium. RNAcentral's name for it is "partial 16S ribosomal RNA". It matches the Rfam family "Bacterial small subunit ribosomal RNA", at positions 15 to 248 of the family's 1533-position model. The record is from RNAcentral.
GAUCCUGGCUCAGGAUGAACGCUAGCUACAGGCUUAACACAUGCAAGUCGAGGGGCAGCAUAAACUUAGCUUGCUAAGUUUGAUGGCGACCGGCGCACGGGUGAGUAACACGUAUCCAACCUUCCGUUUACUCAGGGAUAGCCUUUCGAAAGAAAGAUUAAUACCUGAUAGUAUGGUGAGAUUGCAUGAUAGCACCAUUAAAGAUUUAUUGGUAAACGAUGGGGAUGCGUUCCAUUAGGUAG